GAAAUUCGCCUUCAUGAAGCCGGAAUUGCUAGUAAUGGCAGGUCAGCAUACUGCCGUGAAUACGUUCCCGGGCCUUGUACACACCGCCCGUCACACCAUGAGAGUUGGGAAUACCCGAAGCCUGUGAGCUAACGUUAAGAGGCAGCAGUCGAAGGUAGAAUCAAUGAUUGGGGUGAAGUCGUAACAAGGUAGC
Molecule: ribosomal RNA, 193 nt
Filed under: uncultured bacterium
Lineage: Bacteria
Description: partial 16S ribosomal RNA
Rfam family: Bacterial small subunit ribosomal RNA
Source: RNAcentral